This 253-nucleotide ribosomal RNA is filed under the name uncultured bacterium. RNAcentral describes it as "partial 16S ribosomal RNA". It matches the Rfam family "Bacterial small subunit ribosomal RNA", at positions 524 to 776 of the family's 1533-position model. The record is from RNAcentral.
UACGUAGGGGGCGAGCGUUGUCCGGAUUUACUGGGUGUAAAGGGUGCUCAGGCGGGUCUGUAAGUCAGGGGUGAAAUCCCAGAGCUUAACUCUGGAACUGCCUUUGAUACUGCAGAUCUCGAGUUUGGGAGAGGCGAGUGGAAUAUCUGGUGUAGCAGUGAAAUGCGUAGAUAUCAGAUAGAACACCAAUGGCGAAGGCAGCUCGCUGGCCCAAUACUGACGCUAAAGCACGAAAGCGUGGGGAGCAAACAGG